UGUUGGCCUGGUUCUGCUCUCCAGUAGUUCUCCAGUAGUGGUGGAGAGCUAAGGAGACCCGGAGCUGUGGAACCCAACCCUGAUAUUUCUCCGUCCCGGUGAUAAAAAUAUACAGUUAACAUGUGAAAAAUGAGAAACCUAGGAUCGAAAAACUAAACUAGAAAUUUUAUUUCGCAGUCGGAGAAGACUAAACUGAUGCCAACUCUAAGAAUAGCAAGGAGAACUGAUCACUUCUAGCUCCGCUGCCCAGAGUAAUCCCCCUGAAACCCCAAAACCUAUAAAAUGUGAAUUGUGAUCAUUUUAACCCUAGUACAAGGGGGGGAGGCAGGGAACUCCCAUGGUUACCGAAUAUUAAGGGACUCGGAGUGAUACACAGGUUUUGAAGGACGAGCUGUCUGCUCUUUAAGUCUCCGUGGGCUUUUAAAGUCCUGAUCAAUCAAAGUUUAAGAAGACAUAUUCUACAAGUAUGUAGAAGUGUACAGGAACCAAGACCUUGAUAACUAUCCACUGUUGUUAGCUGGUGGUUUACCAAAAUUCUGUCCAAUUUUGGCAGAUUUUUCCCCUCGUUCCGCGCAUUUCAGUUCAUGGGACAACCGCGCCAGAGUUUCCGACUGUUCCUCAGCUGUGAGCAGGGGUUCAUUCGGAUGUUUCCCAGAUUUCUUCAGUAGCUUGUUUUUUUGCAACCCUCUUUUUUU
Long non-coding RNA from Eurytemora carolleeae, 695 nucleotides. RefSeq lists it as uncharacterized. The record is from RefSeq and is a predicted model, not a curated record. The transcript is spliced from 3 exons. NCBI's taxonomy places the organism in Eukaryota, Metazoa, Arthropoda, Copepoda, Calanoida, Temoridae.